AAAGCCGCCUGGUAUACCAUUGAUUCCAGAGUCCGAGGUACAUCUCUGGUGGUAAAAGGCCUCAAAGAGAAUGUAGAAUACCAUUUCCGUGUUUCAGCAGAAAACCAGUUUGGCAUAAGCAAACCCUUGAAAUCUGAGGAACCAGUCACACCAAAAACACCAUUGAGUAAGUGCCCUUUCAACCACAAAAUUAUAAACAUUAUUUCAGCACUUUUCUGUUUUUAAAUGAAAGUCAUUGGCUUAUAAUACUUGGGACUGUAUUCUAAUACAUGUGUGCUUUCCACUUAUAUUUACAGAUCCU
Molecule: long non-coding RNA, 301 nt
Filed under: Homo sapiens (human)
Lineage: Eukaryota; Metazoa; Chordata; Mammalia; Primates; Hominidae
Description: HSALNT0044008
Source: RNAcentral